This is a non-coding RNA of Syncephalastrum racemosum, 71 nucleotides long. The record is from the annotation of a GenBank genome assembly. Lineage: Eukaryota; Fungi; Mucoromycota; Mucoromycetes; Mucorales; Syncephalastraceae.
GCGCGAAUAGUUUAGAGGUAGAACUUCAGCUUCCCAAGCUGACGGCCGGGGUUCGAUUCCCCGUUCGCGCA